GUGGAUUAGAUACCCUGGUAGUCCACGCCGUAAACGAUGGAUACUAGCUGUUUGGUUUUCGGACUGAGUGGCUAAGCGAAAGUGAUAAGUAUCCCACCUGGGGAGUACGGGCGCAAGCCUGAAACUCAAAGGAAUUGACGGGGGCCCGCACAAGCGGUGGAGCAUGUGGUUUAAUUCGAUGAUACGCGAGGAACCUUACCAGGGCUUAAAUGUAGAUUGACAGGACUGGAAACAGUUUUUUCUUCGGACAAUUUACAAGGUGCUGCACGGUUGUCGCCAGCU
Molecule: ribosomal RNA, 282 nt
Filed under: uncultured bacterium
Lineage: Bacteria
Description: partial 16S ribosomal RNA
Rfam family: Bacterial small subunit ribosomal RNA
Source: RNAcentral